UGGGGAAUAUUGGGCAAUGGGCGAAAGCCUGACCCAGCAACGCCGCGUGAGUGAUGAAGGCCUUCGGGUUGUAAAACUCUUUGGACAGGGACGAAGAAAGUGACGGUACCUGUAGAACAAGCCACGGCUAACUACGUGCCAGCAGCCGCGGUAAUACGGAAGGUCCGGGCGUUAUCCGGAUUUAUUGGGUUUAAAGGGAGCGUAGGCUGUCUAUUAAGCGUGUUGUGAAAUUUACCGGCUCAACCGGUGGCUUGCAGCGCGAACUGGUCGACUUGAGUAUGCAGGAAGUAGGCGGAAUUCAUGGUGUAGCGGUGAAAUGCUUAGAUAUCAUGACGAACUCCGAUUGCGCAGGCAGCUUACUGUAGCAUAACUGACGCUGAUGCUCGAAAGUGCGGGUAUCAAACAGG
RNAcentral lists this ribosomal RNA (407 nucleotides) under Verrucomicrobiota bacterium. Its description in RNAcentral is "Verrucomicrobia bacterium partial 16S ribosomal RNA". It matches the Rfam family "Bacterial small subunit ribosomal RNA", at positions 355 to 776 of the family's 1533-position model. Lineage: Bacteria; Pseudomonadati; Verrucomicrobiota. The record is from RNAcentral.